This 430-nucleotide ribosomal RNA is filed under the name Chloropicon mariensis. RNAcentral describes it as "partial Bacterial small subunit ribosomal RNA". It matches the Rfam family "Bacterial small subunit ribosomal RNA", at positions 341 to 783 of the family's 1533-position model. Lineage: Eukaryota; Viridiplantae; Chlorophyta; Chloropicophyceae; Chloropicales; Chloropicaceae. The record is from RNAcentral.
ACGGGAGGCAGCAGUGGGGAAUAUUGCACAAUGGGCGAAAGCCUGAUGCAGCGACGCCGCGUGAGGGAUGACGGCCUUCGGGUUGUAAACCUCUUUCAGCAGGGACGAAGCGGAAGUGACGGUACCUGCAGAAGAAGCACCGGCCAACUACGUGCCAGCAGCCGCGGUAAUACGUAGGGUGCAAGCGUUGUCCGGAAUUAUUGGGCGUAAAGAGCUCGUAGGCGGUUUGUCGCGUCUGCUGUGAAAACCCGAGGCUCAACCUCGGGCCUGCAGUGGGUACGGGCAGACUAGAGUGCGGUAGGGGAGAUUGGAAUUCCUGGUGUAGCGGUGGAAUGCGCAGAUAUCAGGAGGAACACCGGUGGCGAAGGCGGUUCUCUGGGCAUUACCUGACGCUGAGAAGCGAAAGCGUGGGGAGCAAACAGGCUUAGAU